Molecule: ribosomal RNA, 497 nt
Filed under: uncultured bacterium
Lineage: Bacteria
Description: partial 16S ribosomal RNA
Rfam family: Bacterial small subunit ribosomal RNA
Source: RNAcentral
GACGAACGCUGGCGGCGUGCCUAAUACAUGCAAGUCGAGCGGACGAAUCGAAAGCUUGCUUUUGAUUCGUUAGCGGCGGACGGGUGAGUAACACGUGGGCAACCUGCCCUGUAGACGGGGAUAACACCGAGAAAUCGGUGCUAAUACCGGAUAACACGAAAUGUCGCAUGACGUUUCGUUGAAAGACGGCGCAAGCUGUCGCUACAGGAUGGGCCCGCGGCGCAUUAGCUAGUUGGUGAGGUAACGGCUCACCAAGGCGACGAUGCGUAGCCGACCUGAGGGGGUGAUCGGCCACACUGGGACUGAGACACGGCCCAGACUCCUACGGGAGGCAGCAGUAGGGAAUCUUCCGCAAUGGACGAAAGUCUGACGGAGCAACGCCGCGUGAGCGAAGAAGGCCUUCGGGUCGUAAAGCUCUGUUGUUAGGGAAGAACAAGUAACGCAGUAACUGGCGUUACCGUGACGGUACCUAACGAGAAAGCCACGGCUAACUACGU